This 104-nucleotide small nuclear RNA is filed under the name Cervus elaphus hippelaphus. Lineage: Eukaryota; Metazoa; Chordata; Mammalia; Artiodactyla; Cervidae. The record is from RNAcentral.
GUGCUUGCUUCGGCAGCACAUAUACUAAAAUUGGAACAAUACAGAGAUUAGCAUAGCCCCUGCGCAAGGAUGACACACAAAUCCGUGAAGCGUUUCAUAUUUUU